AAUGAAUGUAGUGUGUGUAUAUAAUGCAGUGUGUUUGUGUAAUGUGCAUUAUAUAAACACACUACAUUAUAUACACACACUACACAAAC
Molecule: non-coding RNA, 89 nt
Organism: Pelobates cultripes (western spadefoot toad)
Lineage: Eukaryota; Metazoa; Chordata; Amphibia; Anura; Pelobatidae
Source: the annotation of a GenBank genome assembly